Molecule: transfer RNA, 71 nt
Filed under: Marmota monax (woodchuck)
Lineage: Eukaryota; Metazoa; Chordata; Mammalia; Rodentia; Sciuridae
Description: tRNA.Ala
Rfam family: tRNA
About the family: Transfer RNA (tRNA) molecules are approximately 80 nucleotides in length. Their secondary structure includes four short double-helical elements and three loops (D, anti-codon, and T loops).
Source: RNAcentral
GGGGUUGUAGCUCAGUGGUAAAGCGCUUGCGUAGCAUGCAGGAGGCACUGGGUUCAAUUCUCAGCACCACA